This is a long non-coding RNA of Drosophila subobscura, 624 nucleotides long. RefSeq lists it as uncharacterized. The record is from RefSeq and is a predicted model, not a curated record. The transcript has 6 exons. Lineage: Eukaryota; Metazoa; Arthropoda; Insecta; Diptera; Drosophilidae.
UUCUUUCUUGGUAGUGGUAUCCGGCGCGCGCGAAGUUGUAAAAAUGGGAAAUAUGGAAAAAGUUAACAGCACGUGGCUGAAAAAUGCAUUAAAACAUGCAAUCCGUAUUGCAAGUGAUCAUUGCCACAUCAUAUAACUGUGUAAAUAUGAAGAGAACGUUGGAUUUUCAUUGCAUCAAAAUUAGCACCGAACACGUGGUGCGCCCGUGUGCCCAUGAAGACACGUUGGAUGGCUGCUGACCAUUGCUUGAGGCUAUAUUGCGGAUAAACAUAUUUAAGGAUGAUGGAAAUGUUCGCUUUAACUCUAUACGGGAGGGGCAGCGCAGCAGCAGAACAUUCUCCAAUGCUCCUAGGAUAGCGUAGUGCGGUGUGCCGGAAACUUUUAGUCUAAAGGCUUUGUGUGACCAGGAUGGCUUGAUUCUUCUGAUGCCUUUGUAUGACCGACGACCAUGUCUUGUGACCAGGAUGAAAUUAUUCUUUUGACGCCUUUGUGCGACGGAUGCCCUUGUGUUAAGACCAGGAUGGAUUCAUUUUUCCUGCUGGCACUCUGAGGCGUUACAAGUAGACCUCUCCCUUUUAUAGAUGGUGGAAUAAAUAUGUAAAUUAACCUUUUUAUUUAAAUAUA